This 377-nucleotide ribosomal RNA is filed under the name uncultured bacterium. RNAcentral's name for it is "bacterial SSU rRNA". It matches the Rfam family "Bacterial small subunit ribosomal RNA", at positions 523 to 898 of the family's 1533-position model. The record is from RNAcentral.
AUACGUAGGUGGCAAGCGUUGUCCGGAAUUAUUGGGCGUAAAGCGCGCGCAGGCGGUCCUUUAAGUCUGAUGUGAAAGCCCACGGCUCAACCGUGGAGGGUCAUUGGAAACUGGAGGACUUGAGUACAGAAGAGGAAAGCGGAAUUCCACGUGUAGCGGUGAAAUGCGUAGAGAUGUGGAGGAACACCAGUGGCGAAGGCGGCUUUCUGGUCUGUAACUGACGCUGAGGCGCGAAAGCGUGGGGAGCAAACAGGAUUAGAUACCCUGGUAGUCCACGCCGUAAACGAUGAGUGCUAAGUGUUAGGGGGUUUCCGCCCCUUAGUGCUGCAGCUAACGCAUUAAGCACUCCGCCUGGGGAGUACGGUCGCAAGACUGAA